RNAcentral lists this ribosomal RNA (460 nucleotides) under uncultured bacterium. RNAcentral describes it as "partial 16S ribosomal RNA". It matches the Rfam family "Bacterial small subunit ribosomal RNA", at positions 338 to 795 of the family's 1533-position model. The record is from RNAcentral.
CCUACGGGAGGCAGCAGUGCGGAAUAUUGGUCAAUGGACGAGAGUCUGAACCAGCCAAGUAGCGUGAAGGAUGACUGCCCUAUGGGUUGUAAACUUCUUUUAUAUGGGAAUAAAAUGUUCCACGUGUGGGAUUUUGUAUGUACCAUAUGAAUAAGGAUCGGCUAACACCGUGCCAGCAGCCGCGGUAAUACGGAGGAUCCGAGCGUUAUCCGGAUUUAUUGGGUUUAAAGGGAGCGUAGGUGGAUGUUUAAGUCAGUUGUGAAAGUUUGCGGCUCAACAGUAAAAUUGCAGUUGAAACUGGCAGUCUUGAGUACAGUAGAGGUGGGCGGAAUUCGUGGUGUAGCGGUGAAAUGCUGAGAUAUCACGAAGAACUCCGAUUGCGAAGGCAGUUCACUGGACUGCAACUGACACUGAGGCUCGAAAGUGUGGGUAUCAAACAGGAUUAGAUACCCGGGUAGUC